UGCUUACCAAUGAUGGUGAAAAAAAAAAUGUCUGAACAAAUGAACUAAAAUGAUAUCAGAAUUUUCUCUGAGGUAAGCA
RNAcentral lists this small nucleolar RNA (79 nucleotides) under Seriola lalandi dorsalis. RNAcentral describes it as "Small nucleolar RNA SNORD72 (ENSSLDG00000004798.1)". It matches the Rfam family "Small nucleolar RNA SNORD72". Rfam says of the family: snoRNA HBII-240 belongs to the CD family of snoRNAs. It is the human orthologue of the mouse MBII-240 and is predicted to guide 2'O-ribose methylation of the large 28S rRNA at residue U4590. Lineage: Eukaryota; Metazoa; Chordata; Actinopteri; Carangiformes; Carangidae. The record is from RNAcentral.